CAAGCCUUAUAACAUUGAGAACAUCGGUUCUCAUCCAAUCACCAAAGUUAAGCAAUGUUGAGCCUGGUCAGUAAUUGGGAGGGUGAUACAUAACCCAGUCAAUGGCAUAAAGU
Non-coding RNA from Cordylochernes scorpioides, 113 nucleotides. NCBI's taxonomy places the organism in Eukaryota, Metazoa, Arthropoda, Arachnida, Pseudoscorpiones, Chernetidae. The record is from the annotation of a GenBank genome assembly.